GACCAAAGUGUUGAGUUCAGUUCUGGGCUCCUUCCCCAGUCCUGCUAAUUAAUCUUUGGGACAUCAGAUGGCUGAAGUUGAGCAAAU
Small nucleolar RNA from Neoarius graeffei (lesser salmon catfish), 87 nucleotides. The record is from RefSeq and is a predicted model, not a curated record. Lineage: Eukaryota; Metazoa; Chordata; Actinopteri; Siluriformes; Ariidae.